Triticum dicoccoides is the source of this 2763-nucleotide long non-coding RNA. RefSeq lists it as uncharacterized. NCBI's taxonomy places the organism in Eukaryota, Viridiplantae, Streptophyta, Magnoliopsida, Poales, Poaceae. The record is from RefSeq and is a predicted model, not a curated record. The transcript is spliced from 8 exons.
CCCCCCUUCGCUCCUGCCCCUUCCUCGCCUCUCCUCUCUAUCUUCUGCGGCGGCGGCGCCGACUCCGCGUGAUUCCUCCUCCCCUGCUCGACUCCUCCUCCUCCCCCCUGAUUAGGGUUUCAGACGGCGGCGGCGCCCUCCACCGUCUGGUCCUUCCCCGCGCCCUCUUCAUCCUUCAGUGCCGCCUCCAGGUCACCGUUGCCGUCGCCCCUACGAACUCCGAGCACGCACGCGUGAGGCCUCCACCACCACCCACCGCAAUACCCCCGGUCCCUCCCUCUCUCCUGUCGUCUCUAACUCCCACCACCCAUUGGUUUUUUCGCCUCCCAACCCGCAGAACGACUGCGGCUCCUCUCUCGAUAGAACUACACCCUCGAUCUAUCUCCUAGGGCGUGUACGCCGCACCCAUCGCGGAACUCUACGCCGCCAACGUCUUGCUACUCCGCCAACCGCCGCCGCGAACUCCGAGACCGCCGCCGCCGCCAUUGUGGAACCCCAGGCCACGGCAUUCUCAGAUUCCCAUGUGCGGCCGGUGGAGCAUGUGAGGCGAGCGCUUUAAUCAAAUCCAGGUUCCUAUGUCCGUUCAUAUAUACUACGAGUAUGAUACUGAUGGAUCAUCUGAUAUAAAAAUCUUCAUUCACUAAUGCAUAUGCGUUCAUUGUUAUUGCGAGGGAUACAAUUUUUGGAGAAGGGAUGGAGAUGGUGCCAUGGUGGAGGCUGCUGCCCAUCUAUGUGCUUGUCGAGUCAGACAUGCCCCUCUACAGGAAGUACCUCUCCGGGUACUACAUCAGCAAUCCUCCCGAAUCCAUCGAUGUGCAGCAGAUCGUGACGCCAUCCGCAUGGACGAACGAGAAUGGCCGCUUGAUUCCUCUUGCCCACUUGUGUCACGAGAUGGAGACCAAGCUCAUGGCUCAGUGCGGCCAGAGGCACAAUCAACAAUUGACUGACAUUGACUCACAGUGAGAUAGAACUAAGUAACAAAAUCAAGAUGCGUGCGUACGACAUCAUAGCUGGAAAGGCGAAUGUUUCGGUGUGUAUGCCGCUGCCACUGAUCUUAUGAAACGAUGCAUGGUUAAUCUGAAGUGUAUCGCCAAAGAGGCAGAGUUGAUGUGCGAGCAUAUGUGCAUGUGUACUUGUGUGUGUUAGCAGGCAGGAGCCCACCGCCGUGCCUGCCGGCGGCAUCGCCCAUGGCCGAGAAGACCGAGGACACCGAGGACCCAACGCCCUCAAGUACGAUGGCGUUGUACCGUCCUUUCUGCUGCGACUUAUGUUGACAAGUUUUGAGAUCGAUCUGAAUCUACAUAUGACCGUGAUCGGGAGGCGAACCCGGUUGCGCUUAGAGACAGUUGAAUAAUGGAGAUCCUCCAGCCACCGAGCUCCUCAAGGACACCUAAGUGCCUUCGUGCUAAGAGUUCAAGGGACUGUCCCCUCUCACCUAAGACAAGGUACAGUUUUUGAUCUGUCUUACACAUUUCUUCUGCUCAUGUACUAAUGUAAAGGUUUCACAAGGUAUGUUGGUUAUGUGGGCAUUCGUAUGAAGUUAUGUGAGCAUGCGCUAGGUAUGAAAAGUUUUGUUUUAGUUGAUUGACAUUGAGGAUUAAAAACCUUAAAUGUGCCAUCAUGUUUUUAGGCGGUGUGCUCCAGGUUUGGCAAAUAUUAACUAACACUACAUGAACAUGAAGAUAAUCUUGGUGCCGGGCAAGCCUCACAUAGAGUGUACACCACCAUGGGCGAUGUGCUCUUCACCAUGGCUUGGCGCUCGCUGCUGCCAUCCCUUGAAAGUGAUAUGACCUCCACGAGCACAAUAAAACCUCAAAACCCGUAGCAACGCACGGGCGUUCUACUAGUGGUUGUAAGAAUCCACCUGCACGUGGAAGAUGAUGAGAGGGUCUGACAGUGGAGCUGCUUGAGAUCCAGCCUAAUCAUAUAUUCUGGGCUGGUGGUCCUGGUGAACAUACCCCUGUUUCCAGCCACUUCAUUCACGGCCAUGGGACAUUUGGUAUGACAUCAUUUAUCGAGAAAUUUUUAGAGAAUGAGCCUUCUAUUAAUGUGAAGACUCAGAUGCUCUUUGGCCACCUAGAGUCACUCAAUCAUCUGGAUUGUUCUUCAUUAACAGGCCACUGGCAGAUCCACCAUUCCAGCCAUAUAGCAAUGACCUACAUAGUGUGCAUAGGUUUUUUGGCGCGGGACGGCAGCAAGUCUUUCUCUAUGGGAGCGGCUGUCCUCCGACUGUGUGAAAUCCCAACUGCAAAACAUGGCGUAAAAGCUGAAAAAGAAGACAAGGGAGCCGCCGCUACUGAUGUGGCCAGACCCAGGCUGAUUGAGUCGGGGGCAGGGGCUAAUCUACUGGGGGGCUUUAACAGGCUCAAGUCCCCCUCCAGCACUGUAAAAUUUGUAUCUACUACUAAUUUUAAGGCCCAGCCCAGCUACUUGCAGGCCCAGUUCAACACAUAUUUGCAUGACCCAGGCAGCCCAGCCCCCCCUCCAUUUUUUUUCUAGCUGCGGUUAUGUAAUAUGUGUGUGGGAGCUCUGAUAGUUUCAGAUUUGUAUCUGUGCUGCUAGAGUCGCUGCAUUAGUUUACCUCUGUUUGUUUCAGUUUCUUUUGUUAUGUCCUACUAGUUUUAUUUAGUCCUUGUUGAGGUAGCGGUGGGGCUGUCCUCCGCGUGCUGAAUUGGUGUUUGUAAGACAAUUUGGUUUCUUUGCUAUGCAAUGGAACCGGAGCCCUGGUGCUCUUUUCCUCGAAAAAAUGUAUAUUAAGUAGUA